This is a long non-coding RNA of Podarcis muralis (Common wall lizard), 3575 nucleotides long. Lineage: Eukaryota; Metazoa; Chordata; Lepidosauria; Squamata; Lacertidae. The record is from Ensembl.
AUGGCCGUUGCAUUGUGGGCUGCAUUUUUGCUCUUUAUCGGUCACUCCUUCCAACUUGGAAUCCUGCUUCCUCCACAAAACGUGACACUAAUUUCGAAGAACUUCUACACUUUCUUGACAUGGCAACAGUCUCCAAACUCGACCAACAGCACUCAGUAUGAGGUGGAGAAAAGUAAUGGUAACAGAUCUUAUCCUGACUGGAUCAAAGAGCCGUCCUGCAGAAGAAGGAAUCUCAGAAGAAACCUAAGCUGCCAGCUUCAUCUGCCAGAUUUGCUCAAGUUUUACCUAGCCAGGGUGAGAGCCCAGGAUGGAGGCAGGUUGUCAGAAUGGGCCUAUUCGGAUUCCCUGCAGCCAUACAAAGACACUGUUGUUGGCCCCCUCAUUCUCUCUCUGGCUGCUGCAGAUCGUAGCAUUACGGUAUCCGUCUCUAUGCCCCAGAUCCUACUGGAGGAAAAUGGCUCAUUGGAUGUCACAUCCCUUCUAAAGAUCCUGAUCAUCCUCAGUAGUGAAGGGGGAGAUUUCCAGAACGUAAUGUUGUGUGAAGAUGAACUGAACAGCUGUUGGAUGGAUAGCAAACAAAGAAGAAUAAAUGUAACAAAAUACACCUUUAAGAAUGUGAAGCCAAAUACCAAUUACUGUGUCAAAGCAGAAGUUGCCAACCAGCCAACCAGGGAAGCUGUGCGGUGUAUUAAAACGCCAGCUAGCUCAACAGGUGUCUACUGGACCCUUUCUGUUAUAGUGUUGGCCUCUGUUUUUGGACUCAUCCUGUUGAGUUGGGUUGGAAAGACUUUCCUUAAGCAGUACAUGCAACUGAGCACCUCAGAAAUGGAUCUACCCAAAUCCCUGGUUUUUCUGAACAGGAAUUCAUCUGCUCUGAUACCUGCACUUCACUUGGAAGCUGAUUCCGUAGUUUUCAUCUCAACUACUGUGCAGCUGCCCUCGGAAGAAGGUCUGCCAACAGAGCAGGAAAGCCCCCAGUUCCAACUGAUUCCAGGCAGUUUUGGUGCUCAGGGAUCAAGUGACUAUUGUCCAAAUGGUUUUGAUAAGGGCAAUGAGGACCCCUCUUGCUUGACAGUUGCCUUUGUAGACUCCCUCUCAUCAGGAGGGCUGGUGAGGGAAGAUUAUUCAGGUGAUGAGGACUACAGAAGUGCUCUGGAGCUCUUGGAAUCUUCUGAACACCCAUCGCCAUCACCAUCACCUGGAGGAUUUCAUUUUGGUGGCUUGGAGACAGUUUCUUGGGAAUGCAGAACUAGCUAUAAAAGUGGCCAAGUAAGAUGGCUGCCUUCAUCUGGGGCUGAUAUUCCCCUCAGCUCUUUGAAGUUGCAGGCUCAUCUAGACACACAAGGCCUUGUGUACAGUCCAGGACCUUUUGAUCUACUGAAAAGCUGUGAUACCUACCCAGAGGCCCCAGCCAAGCAGGUUGCUGAGUUACAGGUGUACCGGGAUCAGAGCAGUUUCUUAGAAGAUGCAGAGCUUCAUAGCAGCUCCAGCCUGGAAGCCAAAGACACAAAGGCAAUGAGUUUCCCUGGCUAUGAACUCCACCCACCCAUCCUUUUCUGUGAACUAUAGUUUUUUGAUGUGUCAAAUAAGCAACUGGGAAAUGCAGAAACCCCAGCUGCUGUCUCACCUUGCAGGAGAAGGUGGGAGCUGAAGAAAGAGACAGGUCUGUCCUGACAGGUCUUCAAAAGGGUUACUGGCCUCUCUUUCCCUCCCCUCCCACUAUAUCCCACUAUAUUUUGCUUCCUGACAUUCACAGUUCCACCCUCCUCCAGCUCACCACCUCACCCUGGCAACUGAUGUCUGAAAUGGCUAUCUCACUCUGCCUAAUGGUAGGGCAGGCACUGAGGAUGGCGAGACAGCAAUCUGACUCACGAACCUACCUAAUCCAAAUGUAGCCAUGUAACUGGAGUGCACAAAGGAGAGCCAGAAAAUUGUAAGAAGGAGCAAUGGUAGAAUUCCUCCCUCUCAUGUGCCUCAUGUGUGUUAACCCUUAUGUACUACCAAGGCUCCAAGGAUACUAGGAACUUUGGGUAUUACUGUAUUUGAAAAUUCAUUGUUAGAUUUGUGGAUCUUGUGUUCCCAAACUGUGUGGCUGCUGUCCGUGGGUCUUUUGCACUCAUCAUCUUCCCAGUUCCCAUAUCAAUGUUAUAGAAACCGGGGUUUGCUUUUACAGCUGAAGUCCCACUCAAGGGGCUCAGAAUUCCCCAAGGUCUGCUCUCAGAAAAAUAAAAGGAGUCAACAACCAAGUAAAGGUAAAGCAAGGCUGGCUGCUAAGCCUGAUCCUUAUUGAAUGGUUUCAACAGAGAUUCCCCCCUCCUCCAACAGGAAGAAGAGCUGCAAACAAAGUGGGUAGCAAGUUCUAAAACUUCAGAAAGUGUCCCAUCCUCUUUAUAGAAAGACCACCCAGAAACGUCAUAGAAAUGUAAUAAAAAGGGGUUGUUCUGUGAAAUCGGGAGCAUGCAUGGAUUACAUGCUUUCCAACUUGUCUAUCAUGAUAUUUUAUAAAUUGCUUGUCUCACUCUGCCAUUCAUACUCCGGACACAUUAACCAUUCCUGUAGAUAUUGCAACCAUCCCUGUCUCCUCUUCUUUCUUAGCCUAUUCUUCUUGCACUGACUCAAAUCUCUCCCCUUUUAUACACAAAGGACCUCCAUUUGGCAGGUUUCAUCUUCUUCUGGCAAGUACCAAACCUGCCAGUUGCCCAUCAGCAGUACAUUUAGGAGUUCCUCACUACAUAGGUGGCUGCUGGGGUCUGAUAUGGAACAAACUUGGCUCCUCCAUUCCCCUUUUGGCUCACUAUAACAUUUUGACAUGAGUAUCAUUCAUAAAACACAUUAUUCGUUCGUAAAAACAUCUUAUUUUCUAAGAGGAAGGUUAUAAAUUGAUUCUUUCUGGGUGGCAUGUGCAUUCCAUUUACAGCAGAUACUCUUCCUGGUUGAUGCUUGAUGGAAGGCGCUGACAGCUCAACAACGGAGUGUUAAUUAUGUAUCUGCACCGUUCUGCAAGGUGCUCGCUGUUGCAAAGAAGAAGCUAGCAAGGAGGGCAAAGGCACAGGUUCCUAAGGAAAAAUGUGGUUUUUAAAAAGAGUAGCAUCUUGGUGGCCAUGCUUGCGAACUCCUGUUACCUUGAACAGUUCCUGUGACAUCAGUACAAUAAUGCUUCCAACUUUGCUAGAAGGUACCUAGGGAUUCCACUUACCUAAAACAGGAAAUUUCCACUAUGCUUGGACCUUACCAGAGUUCCACUUUUGUGCGGUCCUGGUCUAUUCCUUGCAGUUGUACGUAGGAGGGUGUCUCCAGACUGUAAGUCUCUUGUGAGAGGAAUUCAAAUUGUGCAAUUAAAGUAGAUAAAAGUGUUCUGCCGUCCUUGGCCUGAAGGCAUCAAUAAUGAUGGGAGUGGGGGAAUUAAAUCUCAAGGAUGCACAGACAUAACGUGGCUACAAUAUUUGUCCAGUGCAUUUUGAACACACUUAUUCAGCAGCCCUGCAUGUAAGAACAACGAACAUACCUUAUUGAAACAUUUAAACAAUAUGCAAAUAUUGUUGAAACUAAUAUUAUUAAAGCAGACCCUUUGUAAA